This 367-nucleotide ribosomal RNA is filed under the name uncultured bacterium. RNAcentral describes it as "bacterial SSU rRNA". It matches the Rfam family "Bacterial small subunit ribosomal RNA", at positions 29 to 416 of the family's 1533-position model. The record is from RNAcentral.
AGCGAACGCUGGCGGCAGGCUUAACACAUGCAAGUCGAACGGGCGUAGCAAUACGUCAGUGGCAGACGGGUGAGUAACGCGUGGGAACGUACCUUUUGGUCGGAACAACCCAGGGAAACUUGGGGCUAAUACCGGAUAAGCCCUUACGGGGAAAGAUUUAUCGCCGAAAGAUCGGACCCGCGUCGUGAUUAGCUAGUUGGUGUGGUAACGGCGCACCAAGGCGACGAUCAGUAGCUGGGUCUGGAGNGGAUGAUCAGCCACAUUGGGACUGAGACACGGCCCAAACUCCUACGGGAGGCAGCAGUGGGGAAUAUUGGACAAUGGGCGGCAAGCCUGAUCCAGCCAUGCCGUGUGAGUGAUGAAGGCC